UUUCGUGUGGAAAUUUCUCCUAUUCCUUUAUGAGCGGGAAUGUAUUCAUAACAUGCUACAUCUUAAAAGGAGUUCUCGGAGCUGCCAGUCAUAUCGUGGAGGUUGAGUAGUAGCCUACUCGUUCUCCUACAUAA
Small nucleolar RNA from Zalophus californianus (California sea lion), 134 nucleotides. Ensembl annotates it as small nucleolar RNA U109. NCBI's taxonomy places the organism in Eukaryota, Metazoa, Chordata, Mammalia, Carnivora, Otariidae. The record is from Ensembl.